AAUUUGAAAUCUGGCCCCCCCGGGGUCCGAGUUGUAAUUUGCAGAGGGUGCUUCGGGCGAGGGCGCGGUAUAAGUCCAUUGGAACAUGGCGUCGGAGAGGGUGAGAAUCCCGUAUGCGACCGCGCGCCGAGCCCAUGUGAAGCCUCUUCGACGAGUCGAGUUGUUUGGGAAUGCAGCUCAAAAUGGGUGGUAUAUUUCAUCUAAGGCUAAAUACCGGCUGGAGACCGAUAGCGCACAAGUAGAGUGAUCGAAAGAUGAAAAGCACUUUGGAAAGAGAGUCAAACAGUACGUGAAAUUGUUGAAAGGGAAGCGCGUGCAACCAGACCUGCCCGGGGGCGAUCAGCCGCUGUUCUCAGCGGUGCACUCGCCCCGCGAUCAGGCCAGCAUCGGUUCCGGCGGUCGGACAAAGGGCCGGGGAAUGUAGCUCCCCUCGGGGAGUCUUAUAGCCCCGGGUGCAAUGCGGCCAGCCGGGACCGAGGACCGCGCUUCGGCUAGGAUGCUGGCGUAAUGGUUGCAAGCGACCC
This 524-nucleotide ribosomal RNA is filed under the name Oropogon loxensis. RNAcentral describes it as "eukaryotic LSU rRNA". It matches the Rfam family "Eukaryotic large subunit ribosomal RNA", at positions 112 to 650 of the family's 3401-position model. The record is from RNAcentral. Lineage: Eukaryota; Fungi; Ascomycota; Lecanoromycetes; Lecanorales; Parmeliaceae.